RNAcentral lists this ribosomal RNA (330 nucleotides) under uncultured eukaryote. RNAcentral's name for it is "partial 18S ribosomal RNA". It matches the Rfam family "Eukaryotic small subunit ribosomal RNA", at positions 1469 to 1796 of the family's 1831-position model. The record is from RNAcentral.
ACCCUUAGAUGUUCUGGGCCGCACGCGCGCUACACUGACGAUGGCAACGAGUUUUUCCUUCGCCGAAAGGUGUGGGUAAUCUUUUGAAACAUCGCCGUGCUGGGGAUAGAUCAUUGCAAUUUUUGAUCUUGAACGAGGAAUUCCUAGUAAGCGCGAGUCAUCAGCUCGCGUUGAUUACGUCCCUGCCCUUUGUACACACCGCCCGUCGCUACUACCGAUUGAAUGGUUUAGUGAGGACUCCUGAUUGGCGCCGCCGCCCCGGCAACGGAGCAGCGGACUGCCGAAAAGUUGUUCAAACUUGAUCAUUUAGAGGAAGUAAAAGUCGUAACA